UAAUGAUUUCAAUGGUUUACCCA
RNAcentral lists this small nuclear RNA (23 nucleotides) under Arabidopsis thaliana (thale cress). RNAcentral describes it as "snRNA_04531". The record is from RNAcentral. Lineage: Eukaryota; Viridiplantae; Streptophyta; Magnoliopsida; Brassicales; Brassicaceae.